Molecule: ribosomal RNA, 253 nt
Filed under: uncultured bacterium
Lineage: Bacteria
Description: partial 16S ribosomal RNA
Rfam family: Bacterial small subunit ribosomal RNA
Source: RNAcentral
UACGUAGGGAGCAAGCGUUGUCCGGAAUCAUUGGGCGUAAAGCGCGCGUAGGCGGCCCUGUAAGUCCGCUGUGAAAGUCAAAGGCUCAACCUUUGAAAGCCGGUGGAUACUGCAGGGCUAGAGUCCGGAAGAGGCGAGUGGAAUUCCUGGUGUAGCGGUGGAAUGCGCAGAUAUCAGGAGGAACACCAAUAGCGAAGGCGGCUCACUGGACCGGUACUGACGCUGAGGCGCGAAAGCGUGGGGAGCAAACAGG